This 522-nucleotide ribosomal RNA is filed under the name uncultured bacterium. Its description in RNAcentral is "bacterial SSU rRNA". It matches the Rfam family "Bacterial small subunit ribosomal RNA", at positions 960 to 1482 of the family's 1533-position model. The record is from RNAcentral.
CGCGAAGAACCUUACCAAGUCUUGACAUCGGCCUGACCGCCUCGUAAUGGAGGCUUUCCUACGGGACAGGCAAGACAGGUGGUGCAUGGUGGUCGUCAGCUCGUGUCGUGAGAUGUUGGGUUAAGUCCCGCAACGAGCGCAACCCUUAUCUUUAGUAGCCAGCAGUUCGGCUGGGCACUCUAGAGAGACUGCCAGGGAUAACCUGGAGGAAGGUGGGGAUGACGUCAAAUCAUCAUGCCCCUUAUGACUUGGGCUACACACGUGCUACAAUGGCGUAAACAAAGGGAAGCGACCCCGUGAGGGUGAGCGAAUCUCAAAAAUAACGUCUCAGUUCGGAUUGUAGUCUGCAACUCGACUACAUGAAGCUGGAAUCGCUAGUAAUCGCGAAUCAGCAUGUCGCGGUGAAUACGUUCCCGGGUCUUGUACACACCGCCCGUCACACCAUGGGAGUCAGUAACGCCCGAAGCCGGUGACCUAACCGAAAGGAAGGAGCCGUCGAAGGCGGGACGGAUAACUGGGGUG